CCAGAUAAAUGACUUAUCGCUUUUAAAAUUAAAGAGGAAAGUCCGGGCUCCGCAAGGAUACAGUGCCAGGUAACACCUGGCGGGGGCAACCCUAGGGACAGUGCCACAGAAAAUAAACCGCCAUAACAUGGCAAGGGUGAAAAGGUGUGGUAAGAGCACACCGGUUCUAUUGGUAACAAUGAACGCUGGAAAACCCCACUGGGAGCAAGACUAAGUAGAGGUGACAUUGUUAAAAAACUAAAAGCCAUCCUUGGCUAGUCACUUGGGUUAGUCGCUUGAGUCUGAAAGAGAUUUCAGAUCUAGAGAAAUGGUAAGUUUAAAAGACAGAACCCGGCUUAUAGUUUAUCUGGCAAU
Molecule: RNase P RNA, 354 nt
Filed under: Candidatus Pelagibacter sp.
Lineage: Bacteria; Pseudomonadati; Pseudomonadota; Alphaproteobacteria; Candidatus Pelagibacterales; Candidatus Pelagibacteraceae
Description: RNase P RNA component class A
Rfam family: Bacterial RNase P class A
About the family: Ribonuclease P (RNase P) is a ubiquitous endoribonuclease, found in archaea, bacteria and eukarya as well as chloroplasts and mitochondria. Its best characterised activity is the generation of mature 5'-ends of tRNAs by cleaving the 5'-leader elements of precursor-tRNAs. Cellular RNase Ps are ribonucleoproteins.
Source: RNAcentral